Molecule: ribosomal RNA, 472 nt
Filed under: uncultured bacterium
Lineage: Bacteria
Description: partial 16S ribosomal RNA
Rfam family: Bacterial small subunit ribosomal RNA
Source: RNAcentral
GACGAACGCUGGCGGCGUGCUUAACACAUGCAAGUCGAACGCUGAAGCUUGGUGCUUGCACUGGGUGGAUGAGUGGCGAACGGGUGAGUAAUACGUGAGUAACCUGCCCUUGACUCUGGGAUAAGCCUGGGAAACUGGGUCUAAUACUGGAUACGACAUGCCACUGCAUGGUGGUGUGUGGAAAGGGUUUUACUGGUUUUGGAUGGGCUCACGGCCUAUCAGCUUGUUGGUGGGGUAAUGGCCUACCAAGGUGACGACGGGUAGCCGGCCUGAGAGGGUGACCGGCCACACUGGGACUGAGACACGGCCCAGACUCCUACGGGAGGCAGCAGUGGGGAAUAUUGCACAAUGGGCGGAAGCCUGAUGCAGCGACGCCGCGUGAGGGAUGACGGCCUUCGGGUUGUAAACCUCUUUCAGCACGGAAGAAGCGAGAGUGACGGUACGUGCAGAAGAAGCGCCGGCUAACUACGUG